GUAGUCGGAUUCGCAUCAAUCCAUAUGUAUUGGUGUGGGUUGGAGUGGAACUUGAACUAAAUUAUAUUUUAAUCCACUCCAAUACAUGUGGAUUGAGGUGAAUCCGAUA
Molecule: microRNA precursor, 109 nt
Organism: Sorghum bicolor (sorghum)
Lineage: Eukaryota; Viridiplantae; Streptophyta; Magnoliopsida; Poales; Poaceae
Rfam family: MIR5565 microRNA precursor family
Source: Rfam